Molecule: long non-coding RNA, 870 nt
Filed under: Vulpes vulpes (red fox)
Lineage: Eukaryota; Metazoa; Chordata; Mammalia; Carnivora; Canidae
Description: lncRNA (ENSVVUG00000000860.1)
Source: RNAcentral
AACAAAGUUCUGGGCAAAUUCCAUUAACGUAUCUCUGAAUAUAUCAGUGUAGUGGCACAAUUAGGGAAACAUUUUGAUCUGAAUGACCACACUUGAUUUUCCAACAAUCUUACAAGAUAGUCAAGGCAAGUAUUUGUGCCAUUUCAUACAUGAAGAAGCUGAGAAUCUCAGCCAUUAGGUCAUCACCAGGCAACAUGGAACAGGACCGCUAGAGGUCUCACAGCAACUCUAGCACUGUCCCUCUGCCCCUGCCAUCUGUCCGUAGUUGUGAAUGAGCAUUUAGAGUCAUUUCCUACGUACAAUAUCACUUUGCCCUGAAGCACAGUAGUAUCAGCUAGACAACAUCACACUUAAGAUCCUUCUAAUCUUAUGAUUUAAUGUGACGGUUUUCCAUUAUGGAUUCCAUGGCCACCGAACCAAAGGGUACAAGAGCUGACUUCGUCCAGACCCCGACCUUCCGUGAGAGGAUAGAUAUUUUGGUUCUCAUCUUACACAGGAGCUGACUGUAGUCCGCAGAGGCUAAUCCAUUCAGAGGAGGAGGAGAGAUUAAAGAUUUAAUGGAAGAAGAGAAGCCAUGGGUGACGGGAUAAAUCGUUCCUGGUAAUCAGACAGCUAAAAAGUGUUGCAAGGGGAUCCGGUUUCAGGUCCUCUGCUUCCAAACCUCGAGCUCAUUUUACUACAUGUUAAUAGAUUUCUCUGCUCUUUAGAUCUUCAGUUUUUUUUUUUAAUUUUUAUUUAUUUAAGAGAGAGAGAGAGAGAGAGAGAGGCAGAGACACAGCAGAGGGAGAAGCAGGCUNAAUUUUUAUUUAUUUAAGAUAGAUAGAUAGAGAGAGAGAGAGAGAGAGAGGCAGAGACGUAGGCAGAGGGAGA